UCAGCCAUUAGUUCAUGCCAGAAGU
Molecule: non-coding RNA, 25 nt
Filed under: Mus musculus (house mouse)
Lineage: Eukaryota; Metazoa; Chordata; Mammalia; Rodentia; Muridae
Source: RNAcentral